This is a long non-coding RNA of Monodelphis domestica (gray short-tailed opossum), 423 nucleotides long. RefSeq lists it as uncharacterized. The record is from RefSeq and is a predicted model, not a curated record. NCBI's taxonomy places the organism in Eukaryota, Metazoa, Chordata, Mammalia, Didelphimorphia, Didelphidae.
GAAAAUGGCAGCCAGCAUACACAGUCAGGAAUAGGAGAAGGGAACGGGGGAACAUCUGCUCCUUCCCUCAAUGCUCCAUCCGGCUUCUCACCAACUCCAUGGUUUUAAUACCACAAUCAUUUGGUAGUGUUUGCCACCUGCUGAAAAAUCUCAAAGUUGUUUAUUAUCCUCUCCUCCACCAUUCUCCAAAUGACAAAAUGAAAUCUUUCCUCCAAAUGUCACCAAGCCCAUCAUUGGUCCUCAAAUAAAGGAAAAGAAAUAAUAUGGCUCAAUCUUUCAGAUGAGAAAACUGAAGCUCUGAGAUAUGAAAAGACCUACACAUGAUCCUACAGAUCGUUCAAGAGUGAAGACUCUUUGAGGGCACGGAGUGUUUUUCCCCAUUUCUUUUGAAAUAUUUGAAAUAAAAUGUCUUUUGUUCUCACA